RNAcentral lists this ribosomal RNA (1326 nucleotides) under Sarcophaga misera. Its description in RNAcentral is "16S ribosomal RNA". The stretch from base 1075 to 1234 matches the Rfam family "Archaeal large subunit ribosomal RNA", at positions 2544 to 2703 of the family's 2987-position model. Lineage: Eukaryota; Metazoa; Arthropoda; Insecta; Diptera; Sarcophagidae. The record is from RNAcentral.
UUAUAUUUUAUUUAUUAAUUAAUUUUUUUUUUAUUAUAAAUUAUUAAAAAUAAUUAUUAAAAGUUUUGUUUGAGUAUUUUAUAAAGAAAAAAUAAAUUUAAUUAUAGUUAAAUAGUAUUGUGAAAGAAAAUUGAAAUAAUUUGAAAAAUUAAUAUUUUAAAAGAAAAUUUAAUUUAUUGUACCUUGUGUAUCAGGGUUUAUCAAAUAAAAAUUAUGUAUUAUAAUUUUCUCGAUUUUAAAAGAGUUAAUAUAUUAUAAAAGUUAAUGUGACAAAAUUAUUUUGUAUAAUAUAUUAGAAAUGAAAUGUUAUUCGUUUUUAAAGGUAUCUAGUUCUUUAAGAAAUAAAUUUAAUUUAGAAAUUUUAUAUUAUUUAGUUAAAUAUAUUAAUUAAAUAAUUAUUUAAUUUUAAUAUUUUGUGGGAUAAGCUAUGAAAUAAAUUAUUAAAAAUUAUUAAAUAAUUUAAUAAAUAUAAGCUUAGAAAUAGCUAUUAUUAAUGAAAUUGUUAUAAUUUAUUUUAUAAUAUGAAUUAUUUAUUAAAUUUUAAUUAUGUAUUAAAGUAUUUAUUUUAAUGAUAAAAAUAAAAAAAUAAUGAUAAAAUUAGUAUAUUAUUUUGUAUAAAUAUAAUUAGUUGAUAAGUUUUUAUAAAGAACUCGGCAAAAAUAAUGUUCGCCUGUUUAACAAAAACAUGUCUUUUUGAAUUUUUUUUAAAGUCUAGCCUGCCCACUGAAUAAUUUAAAUGGCCGCAGUAUACUAACUGUGCAAAGGUAGCAUAAUCAUUAGUCUUUUAAUUGAAGGCUGGUAUGAAUGGUUGGACGAGAUAUUAACUGUUUCAUAAAAAUUUAUAAUAGAAUUUUAUUUUUUAGUCAAAAAGCUAAAAUAAAAUUAAAAGACGAGAAGACCCUAUAAAUCUUUAUAUAUAUAUAUUAUUAGAAUUUUGUAGAUUAUUUUUGUUAUAAUAAUUGAUUAUAUUUUAUUGGGGUGAUAUUAAAAUUUAAUAAACUUUUAAUUUUUAAAAUCAUUAAUUUAUGAAUAAUUGAUCCGUUAAUAGCGAUUAAAAAAAUAAGUUACUUUAGGGAUAACAGCGUAAUUUUUUUGGAGAGUUCAUAUCGAUAAAAAAGAUUGCGACCUCGAUGUUGGAUUAAGAUAUAAUUUUAGGUGUAGCCGCUUAAAUUUUAAGUCUGUUCGACUUUUAAAUUCUUACAUGAUCUGAGUUCAAACCGGCGUAAGCCAGGUUGGUUUCUAUCUUUAAAAAGUUAAAAUAUUUCAGUACGAAAGGACCUAAUAUUUAAUAAAUAAUUAUUUUUAUAUUGAAUAUAAAUAAUUUAU